GCGGAUGUAGCUCAGUGGUAGAGCGCUGUCCUUCCACGUCAGACGUCGCGCGUUCGAAUCGCGUCAUCCGCU
Molecule: transfer RNA, 72 nt
Filed under: prasinophyte sp. MBIC10622
Lineage: Eukaryota; Viridiplantae; Chlorophyta
Description: tRNA-Gly
Rfam family: tRNA
About the family: Transfer RNA (tRNA) molecules are approximately 80 nucleotides in length. Their secondary structure includes four short double-helical elements and three loops (D, anti-codon, and T loops).
Source: RNAcentral